GAUGAACGCUGGCGGCGUGCCUAAUACAUGCAAGUCGAGCGAACAGACGAGGAGCUUGCUCCUCUGACGUUAGCGGCGGACGGGUGAGUAACACGUGGAUAACCUACCUAUAAGACUGGGAUAACUUCGGGAAACCGGAGCUAAUACCGGAUAAUAUAUUGAACCGCAUGGUUCAAUAGUGAAAGACGGUUUUGCUGUCACUUAUAGAUGGAUCCCCGCCGCAUUAGCUAGUUGGUAAGGUAACGGCUUACCAAGGCGACGAUGCGUAGCCGACCUGAGAGGGUGAUCGGCCAAACUGGAAUUGAGAAACGGUCCAGACUCCUACGGGAGGCGCAAGUAGGGAAUCUUCCGCAAUGGGCGAAAGCCUAACGGAGCAACGCCGCGUGAGUGAUGAAGGUCUUCGGAUCGUAAAACUCUGUUAUUAGGGAAGAACAAAUGUGUAAGUAACUAUGCACGUCUUGACGGUACCUAAUCAGAAAGCCACGGCUAACUACGUG
RNAcentral lists this ribosomal RNA (497 nucleotides) under uncultured bacterium. Its description in RNAcentral is "partial 16S ribosomal RNA". It matches the Rfam family "Bacterial small subunit ribosomal RNA", at positions 28 to 507 of the family's 1533-position model. The record is from RNAcentral.